UCAUCACACAAGGUUCUUACCAUAGGAGGG
RNAcentral lists this non-coding RNA (30 nucleotides) under Rattus norvegicus (Norway rat). The record is from RNAcentral. Lineage: Eukaryota; Metazoa; Chordata; Mammalia; Rodentia; Muridae.